CCUACGGGUGGCAGCAGUGGGGAAUAUUGGGCAAUGGGCGCAAGCCUGACCCAGCAACGCCGCGUGAAGGAAGAAGGCUUUCGGGUUGUAAACUUCUUUUGUCAGGGAAGAGUAGAAGACGGUACCUGACGAAUAAGCCACGGCUAACUACGUGCCAGCAGCCGCGGUAAUACGUAGGUGGCAAGCGUUGUCCGGAUUUACUGGGUGUAAGGGGCGUGUAGGCGGGUUGACAAGUCAGAUGUGAAAUCCUGCGGCUUAACCGCAGAACUGCAUUUGAAACUGUUGAUCUUGAGUACUGGAGAGGCAGACGGAAUGCCUGGUGUAGCGGUGAAAUGCGUAGAGAUUAGGAGGAACACCGGUGGCGAAGGCAGUCUGCCAGACAGCAACUGACGGUGAGGCGCGAAAGCGUGGGGAGCAAACAGGAUUAGAUACCCUAGUAGUC
Molecule: ribosomal RNA, 442 nt
Filed under: uncultured bacterium
Lineage: Bacteria
Description: partial 16S ribosomal RNA
Rfam family: Bacterial small subunit ribosomal RNA
Source: RNAcentral